This 73-nucleotide transfer RNA is filed under the name Camelus bactrianus (Bactrian camel). It matches the Rfam family "tRNA". From Rfam's summary of the family: Transfer RNA (tRNA) molecules are approximately 80 nucleotides in length. Their secondary structure includes four short double-helical elements and three loops (D, anti-codon, and T loops). RNAcentral also lists the same sequence under 2 other names. Lineage: Eukaryota; Metazoa; Chordata; Mammalia; Artiodactyla; Camelidae. The record is from Rfam by way of RNAcentral.
GGAGGUAUAGCUCAAAUGGUUGAGAACAUGCUUGUCAUACAAGAGGUCCUGGGUUCAAUCCCCAGUAGCUCCU